RNAcentral lists this ribosomal RNA (253 nucleotides) under uncultured bacterium. Its description in RNAcentral is "partial 16S ribosomal RNA". It matches the Rfam family "Bacterial small subunit ribosomal RNA", at positions 524 to 776 of the family's 1533-position model. The record is from RNAcentral. RNAcentral also lists the same sequence under 1 other name.
UACGAAAGGGGCAAGCGUUGUUCGGAUUUACUGGGCGUAAAGGGCACGCAGGCGGUCUUGCCAGUCAGGGGUGAAAGCCCGGGGCUCAACCCCGGAACUGCCUCUGAUACUGCAGGACUAGAGACUAGGAGAGGGUGGUGGAAUUCCCAGUGUAGAGGUGAAAUUCGUAGAUAUUGGGAGGAACACCAGAGGCGAAGGCGGCCACCUGGACUAGAUCUGACGCUCAGGUGCGAAAGCGUGGGGAGCAAACAGG